RNAcentral lists this unclassified non-coding RNA (469 nucleotides) under Hevea brasiliensis (rubber tree). Lineage: Eukaryota; Viridiplantae; Streptophyta; Magnoliopsida; Malpighiales; Euphorbiaceae. The record is from RNAcentral.
GAAAAAAAAAACCAGAAAAAAAAAUCACAUCAAGUUCUAGACUUUCAAACUGAAACUAAAAACCACUGCAACAUCAAAACCUCUAAUGCUAAUCUACAGAUCAAGUCUAAAAAAUAAAAAUUAAAAGCCAUUACCACAGAACCCAAAAACCUACCACCAAAAGGAUCCAUCCAAAUACCAUGAUGUCUUCAACACAUUGAUCAAGUGAAGGAAUCACCAUAAACAAAUUAGUAGACUCAACAUCUUUAAUGAGGGAUUUGGAGAAGAGACUAGUUGAACUGCCUUGCUAAAUUGAAUCAAGUCCAAAAUAAACCACAAAAAGAUUCAAAUUCUAAUCACUAAAGAAAUUCACCUAACCAGGAGUUCAAGCAAAACACAAAAAGAAACAAAGUGGCAUCUGGUUCCAUCCAUUUAUUUGCCCAAGGUUAUGAAUCAGGCCCAUUAUAUCAUCAAACAUUGAUACUAUGUA